AGGCGAUUAGCUCAGUGGCAGAGCACUGCCUUCACACGGCAGGGGUCACUGGUUCGAUCCCAGUAUCGCCUACCA
RNAcentral lists this transfer RNA (75 nucleotides) under Nitrospirota bacterium. Its description in RNAcentral is "tRNA-Val". It matches the Rfam family "tRNA". From Rfam's summary of the family: Transfer RNA (tRNA) molecules are approximately 80 nucleotides in length. Lineage: Bacteria; Pseudomonadati; Nitrospirota. The record is from RNAcentral.